AACGAACGCUGGCGGCAUGCCUAACACAUGCAAGUCGAACGAGACCUUCGGGUCUAGUGGCGCACGGGUGCGUAACGCGUGGGAACCUGCCCUUAGGUUCGGCAUAACUCCCCGAAAGGGGUGCUAAUACCGGAUAAUGUCUUCGGACCAAAGAUUUAUCGCCUUUGGAUGGGCCCGCGUUGGAUUAGCUAGUUGGUAGGGUAAAAGCCUACCAAGGCGACGAUCCAUAGCUGGUCUGAGAGGAUGAUCAGCCACACUGGGACUGAGACACGGCCCAGACUCCUACGGGAAGCAGGAGUGGGGAAUAUUGGACAAUGGGCGAAAGCCUGAUGCAGCAAGGACGGGUGAGUGAUGAAGGCUGUAGGGUUGUAAAGCUAUUUUACCCGGGAUGAUAAUGACAGUACCGGGAGAAUAAGCUCCGGCUAACUCCGUG
RNAcentral lists this ribosomal RNA (433 nucleotides) under uncultured bacterium. Its description in RNAcentral is "partial 16S ribosomal RNA". It matches the Rfam family "Bacterial small subunit ribosomal RNA", at positions 29 to 507 of the family's 1533-position model. The record is from RNAcentral.